Molecule: ribosomal RNA, 300 nt
Filed under: uncultured bacterium
Lineage: Bacteria
Description: bacterial SSU rRNA
Rfam family: Bacterial small subunit ribosomal RNA
Source: RNAcentral
CCUGAACGCUGGCGGCGUGGCUAAGACAUGCAAGUCGCACGGUGUAGCAAUACACAGUGGCGAACGGGUGAGUAAUGAAUCGCUAAUGUACCCUGGACUCUGGGAUAGCUGGCCGAAAGGCCAGGUAAUACCAGAUGAGACCACGAACAGGCAUCUGUUUGUGCUCAAAGGUCCGCCGGUCUGGGAGCAGGCGAUUUCGUAUCAGCUAGUUGGUGAGGUAACGGCUCACCAAGGCGACGACGCGUAGCCGGACUGAGAGGUUGGUCGGCCACAUCGGGACUGAGACACUGCCCGGACUCC